AAGAAUAUACUUUCAGGGAUCAUUUCUAUAGUAGAUUACUAGAGAAGUGAGAUAGAAAGUGUUAAGAGACGAAAACCACGAUGAGGAGUUGGAGGGUUCUCUUCUGAGCGGGAAGGGGGACGGCAACGUUGCUUUUAUGCAGCUCUUGCUUUCUAUUGAUGAUCGUUUCUUCCUUCCUUUGGGAAAGGAGGAGGAAGAGAACUCAAGCUGAGUGGU
Small nucleolar RNA from Ornithorhynchus anatinus (platypus), 216 nucleotides. RefSeq annotates it as small nucleolar RNA U3. Lineage: Eukaryota; Metazoa; Chordata; Mammalia; Monotremata; Ornithorhynchidae. The record is from RefSeq and is a predicted model, not a curated record. The transcript has a single exon.